Molecule: ribosomal RNA, 253 nt
Filed under: uncultured Caryophanaceae bacterium
Lineage: Bacteria; Bacillati; Bacillota; Bacilli; Caryophanales; Caryophanaceae
Description: uncultured Planococcaceae bacterium partial 16S ribosomal RNA
Rfam family: Bacterial small subunit ribosomal RNA
Source: RNAcentral
UACGUAGGUGGCAAGCGUUGUCCGGAAUUAUUGGGCGUAAAGCGCGCGCAGGUGGUUUCUUAAGUCUGAUGUGAAAGCCCCCGGCUCAACCGGGGAGGGUCAUUGGAAACUGGGGAACUUGAGUGCAGAAGAGGAUAGUGGAAUUCCAAGUGUAGCGGUGAAAUGCGUAGAGAUUUGGAGGAACACCAGUGGCGAAGGCGACUGUCUGGUCUGUAACUGACGCUGAUGGACGAAAGCGUGGGGAGCGAACAGG